Molecule: long non-coding RNA, 209 nt
Organism: Bradysia coprophila
Lineage: Eukaryota; Metazoa; Arthropoda; Insecta; Diptera; Sciaridae
Source: RefSeq, a predicted model, not a curated record
CCACUGUAAUUGGCAUCAGUUUAAUUCGAAUUUUCGAGUCAAGGACAACCACAACCAACCAACAAAUCAAAAUGGAAAUCAUCAAAAUUGCUCUACUUGUCGCAGCUGCUGUGUUCGCUGUUCUGGGAGGUUGUCAAGCGGAGCCGAUUCGCGAUAUUAAAGGAAACGUGACAGGCAGUGUUACUGAUAAUUCACAGGGCCACAAAUGG